RNAcentral lists this non-coding RNA (693 nucleotides) under Caenorhabditis japonica. Its description in RNAcentral is "Eukaryotic small subunit ribosomal RNA". It matches the Rfam family "Eukaryotic small subunit ribosomal RNA", at positions 1112 to 1831 of the family's 1831-position model. The record is from Rfam by way of RNAcentral. Lineage: Eukaryota; Metazoa; Nematoda; Chromadorea; Rhabditida; Rhabditidae.
UUCCGGGGGUAGUAUGGUUGCAAAGCUGAAACUUAAAGAAAUUGACGGAAGGGCACCACAAGGCGUGGAGCUUGCGGCUUAAUUUGACUCAACACGGGAAAACUCACCCGGUCCGGACACUAUUAGGACUGACAGAUUGAAAGCUCUUUCUCGAUUUGGUGGUUGGUGGUGCAUGGCCGUUCUUAGUUGGUGGAGUGAUUUGUCUGGUUUAUUCCGAUAACGAGCGAGACUCUAGCCUGCUAAAUAGUCGACGAAUCUUCGGGUUCGUAUAACUUCUUAGAGGGAUAAGCGGUGUUUAGCCGCACGAGAUUGAGCGAUAACAGGUCUGUGAUGCCCUUAGAUGUCCGGGGCUGCACGCGUGCUACACUGGUGGAGUCAGCGGGUUUUUCCUAUGCCGAAAGGUAUCGGUAAACCGUUGAACUUCUUCCAUGUCCGGGAUAGGGUAUUGUAAUUAUUACCCUUAAACGAGGAAUGCCUAGUAAGUGUGAGUCAUCAGCUCACGUUGAUUACGUCCCUGCCCUUUGUACACACCGCCCGUCGCUAUCCGGGACUGAACUGAUUCGAGAAGAGUGGGGACUGUGGCUGCGAGGUUUUACCACUUCGCAGUUGCGGAAACCAUUUUUAUCGCAUUGGUUUGAACCGGGUAAAAGUCGUAACAAGGUAGCUGUAGGUGAACCUGCAGCUGGAUCAUCG